RNAcentral lists this long non-coding RNA (844 nucleotides) under Parus major (Great Tit). RNAcentral describes it as "lncRNA (ENSPMJG00000008763.1)". Lineage: Eukaryota; Metazoa; Chordata; Aves; Passeriformes; Paridae. The record is from RNAcentral.
AAUGUUUAGGUUAUACCCUACCAUUACAUAGGAGAUUCAGGACUUUUCAGGCUAAAGAGGGAAUCUUGAAGCUUCAGUAAAUCAUUAAAGAAUACAUUUAAUCGUAGGGAAUGGGUUAUACAUUCUGUUCUGGCACGGUUACUUUGAGUUUGUUUGGGUUCUUCAGUCUUCUUGCAUUGUUGUUCAAGGUGCCAAAUUAGCAUCAAUAAUAAGAAAACUCUUGCUUCAGUGUCUCUGUCUGCCCCCCACAGGUGAAUGGGAUACCCAUUACCUUAGAAGAAGAGAUGUACCUUUGUUUCCCUACUGAGUUUUGAUCAGAUAUGCACUUGGCCUGAAUGGUUUGAUUGCAGCAGAUGCACAUCCACAUCGCCAGAAGAUCAGCCAGAAAACAUUUAGCUCAUUUCUCCAUUAGUUCUGCCUUCCAGAAACUGCUAGCAAGAGGAUGUUUUCACACAGAAAACAGACCAUGAACAGAUUUACUGACUUAACUGGACUAGCCACAAGGUUGGAAUUAUGUAUGUGCUUCAGUAUCAUGCCAGCCCACAGUUUCAACAGAAACAACAGACAGCCUGUUCCACCUAGCACCAAGUGCAACCAUGCCUUCUGAAAGGGUUUGAUGUCAAACAACGUAUUCAUGAUUACUGUUCAUCUUUGUCCAAGAUGUGGCAGUCAGCUCACAUCCAACACUUAAGAGCAUCAUGACAAAUAGCUGUUUCUUGAAGUGUUUACUCAACACGGUUGAAAGGCUUUUUUCAGCCCUGGCUCAAUGGGAUUUCAGCCUUGAGCCAGAAACACUGUGAUCUUUGGGGGCUUACAAAGCAUGAGUGGCCUUACAAAAUCUAGG